AGAGUUUGAUCAUGGCUCAGGACGAACGCUGGCGGCGUGCCUAACACAUGCUAGUCGAACGGAGUAAGAAUUUCGGUUUUUACUUAGUGGCGAACGGGUGAGUAACGCGUGAACAACCUGCCUUCUUGAGGGGGAUAACACCUGGAAACAAGUGCUAAUACCGCAUAAGACCACAGAGCCGCAUGGCCCAGGGGUCAAAGGAGUGAUCCGCAGGAAGAGGGGUUCGCGUCCCAUUAGCUAGUUGGCGGGGCAACGGCCCACCAAGGCGACGAUGGGUAGCCGAGCUGAGAGGCUGAUCGGCCACACUGGAACUGAGACACGGUCCAGACUCCUACGGGAGGCAGCAGUGGGGAAUAUUGGGCAAUGGGCGAAAGCCUGACCCAGCAACGCCGCGUGAGGGAAGAAGGUCUUCGGGUUGUAAACCUCUGUCCUUGGUGAAAAGGAAGGAUGGUAGCCAAGGAGGAAGCUCCGGCUAACUACGUGCCAGCAGCCGCGGUAAUACGUAGGGAGCGAGCGUUGUCCGGAAUGAUUGGGCGUAAAGGGCGUGUAGGCGGCCAAUUAAGUCUGAAGUGAAAUCCCUGGUUUCAAGUCAGGGUCUGCUUUGGAAACUGGUUGGCUUGAGUGCAGGAGAGGCUAUCGGAAUUCCCGGUGUAGCGGUGAAAUGCGUAGAGAUCGGGAGGAACACCAGUGGCGAAGGCGGGUAGCUGGACUGUAACUGACGCUAAGGCGCGAAAGUGUGGGGAGCAAAACAGGAUUAGAUACCCUGGUAGUCCACACUGUAAACGAUGAAUGCUAGGUGUAGGGGGUAUCGACCCCUUCUGUGCCGCAGUAAACACAAUAAGCAUUCCGCCUGGGGAGUACGGCCGCAAGGUUGAAACUCAAAGGAAUUGACGGGGGCCCGCACAAGCAGCGGAGCAUGUGGUUUAAUUAGACGCAACGCGAAGAACCUUACCAGGUCUUGACAUCCAAUUAAAGCUGCAGAGAUGCAGUGUGAGCUUGCUCAAAUUGAGACAGGUGGUGCAUGGUUGUCGUCAGCUCGUGUCGUGAGAUGUUGGGUUAAGUCCCGCAACGAGCGCAACCCUUGUUUACAGUUACUAACGUGUUAUGAUGAGGACUCUGUAGAGACUGCCGGGGACAACUCGGAGGAAGGUGGGGACGACGUCAAAUCAUCAUGCCCCUUAUGACCUGGGCUACACACGUGCUACAAUGGCCGUCACAAGGAGGAGCGAGUGCGUAAGUACGAGCAGAUCUCAAAAAAGCGGUCUCAGUUCGGAUUGUGGGCUGCAACCCGCCCACAUGAAGUCGGAGUUGCUAGUAAUCGCGGAUCAGCAUGCCGCGGUGAAUACGUUCCCGGGCCUUGUACACACCGCCCGUCACACCAUGGGAGUUGAUAGCACCCGAAAGUUGUGAGGUAACCGCAAGGAGCCAGCAACCUAAGGUGAGAUGAAUGACUGGGGUGAAGUCGUAACAAGGUAGCCGUA
This 1481-nucleotide ribosomal RNA is filed under the name uncultured rumen bacterium. RNAcentral describes it as "bacterial SSU rRNA". It matches the Rfam family "Bacterial small subunit ribosomal RNA". The record is from RNAcentral.